AGGAUGAACGCUGGCGGCGUGCUUAACACAUGCAAGUCAUGGGGGCCCGAGGCGCAAGCCUUGGGCAACCGGCGAACGGGUGCGUAACACGUGAGCAACCUACCCAGGUGUGGGGGAUAGCCGUCCCAACGGACGGGUAAUACCGCAUACGCUCAACACGAGGCAUUUCGAGUUGAGGAAACCUUCGGGGCACCAUGAGGGGCUCGCGCCUAUCAGCUAGUUGCGAGGUAACGGCUCACCAGGCUACGACGGUAGCUGGUCUGAGAGGAUGACCAGCCACAUGGACUGAGAAACGGCCCAGACUCCUACGGGAGGCAGCGAGUGGGGAAUCGUUGCGCAAGUGGCUAACGGCGUGACGCGAGCGACGCCGCGUGA
RNAcentral lists this ribosomal RNA (375 nucleotides) under uncultured soil bacterium. Its description in RNAcentral is "bacterial SSU rRNA". It matches the Rfam family "Bacterial small subunit ribosomal RNA", at positions 26 to 404 of the family's 1533-position model. The record is from RNAcentral.